CCCUGGACUAGCUCAGUGGUAGAGCGGCUGCCUUAAAAGCAGCGCGUCAGAGGUUCGAUUCCUUUGCUAGGCACCA
RNAcentral lists this transfer RNA (76 nucleotides) under Pantoea sp. BL1. RNAcentral's name for it is "tRNA-Leu". It matches the Rfam family "tRNA". Rfam says of the family: Transfer RNA (tRNA) molecules are approximately 80 nucleotides in length. Their secondary structure includes four short double-helical elements and three loops (D, anti-codon, and T loops). Further hydrogen bonds mediate the characteristic L-shaped molecular structure. tRNAs have two regions of fundamental functional importance: the anti-codon, which is responsible for specific mRNA codon recognition, and the 3' end, to which the tRNAs corresponding amino acid is attached (by aminoacyl-tRNA synthetases). tRNAs cope with the degeneracy of the genetic code in two manners: having more than one tRNA (with a specific anti-codon) for a particular amino acid; and 'wobble' base-pairing, i.e. permitting non-standard base-pairing at the 3rd anti-codon position. The record is from RNAcentral. Lineage: Bacteria; Pseudomonadati; Pseudomonadota; Gammaproteobacteria; Enterobacterales; Erwiniaceae.